GGUCAAGAAAAAAAGAGCAUUAGGCGAAUGCCUAGGCACCAAGAGGCGAAGAAGGACGCGGUAAGCUGCGAAAAGCUGUGGGUAGAAGCAAACAAUCGACAAACCACAGAUCUCCCAAUGGGGCAACCCACCAUAAAAAUGGUAUCUUUAAGCCAAUCCAUAACUUAAAGAAGCGAACCGGGCGAACUGAAACAUCUAAGUAGCCCGAGGAAAAGAAAGAAAACUCGAUAUCCCAAGUAGCGGCGAGCGAAAAGGAAAAAGCCCAACCGUGCAAAAAAGCAAAAGCAAGUCAGUCGAAUCAUCUGGGAAGAUGAUCCAAAGAAGGUAACAGACCCGUAGACGAAAACAAGCAAAGCAAGCACAAAAGAGUAUCACAGGACACGAGAAAUCCGGUGAGAACACAGGGGGACCACCCCCUAAGGCUAAACACUCCUUGGUGACCAAUAGCGAACAAGUACCGUGAGGGAAAGGUGAAAAGAACCCCGAGAGGGGAGUGAAACAGAACCUGAAACCUAAUGUUUACAAGCAGCGAAACCGGUAAAGGAACCGGGAUCGUGUACUUUUUGUAGAACGGGCCAGCGAGUUAUGUCAAUAAGCAAGAUUAAAAUGUAAAGCAUUGAAGUCGCAGAGAAAUCGAGUCUAAAUAGGGCGAAAGUUAAUUGACAUAGACCCGAAACCGUGUGAUCUAUCCAUGGGCAGAGUGAAGUUGAAGUAAAAUUCAAUGGAGGCUCGAACCGGGUAGCGUUUAAAAGCUAUCGGAUGACCUGUGGAUAGGGGUGAAAAGCCAAACGAACACGGAGAUAGCUGGUUCUCCUCGAAAUAGCUUUAGGGCUAGCCUUUAGCGAACAAUGAUAAGGGGGUAGAGCACUGAAUAGUAGCGGGGGCAAUACGCUUACCAAUACCUAUCAAACUCCAAAUACCAAAUCAAGCGCUAAGGAGUCAGACAAUGAGGGAUGAGCUUCAUAGUCAAAAGGGAAACAGCCCAGACCACCAGCUAAGGUCCCAAAAUAAUAGUUAAGUGGGAAAGGAAGUAUAAUUACUCAGACAACCAGGAUGUUGGCUUAGAAGCAGCCACACAUUCAAAGAGUGCGUAAUAGCUCACUGGUCAAGUGAUUGUGCGCCGAAGAUAACCGGGGCUAAACUAAAUACCGAAGCUGUGGAUCAGAAAUGAUGGUAGAGGAGCAAUGUGUGCAAGACGAAGCAGAAGUCGCAAGGCCCUGUAGAUAGCACACAAGAGAGAAUGCUGGCAUAAGUAGCGAGAGGUGAGUGAGAAUCUCACCCGUCGAAAACCUAAGGAUUCCUGAGCAAGGCUCGUCCACUCAGGGUAAGUCGGGACCUAAGGCGAGGCCGAAAGGCGUAGUCGAUGGACAACAGGUGGAAAAUCCUGUACCGAGUUUAAGCGCAACAAAGUACGUGGUGACGCAGGAGGAUAACAUGAGCGCCCAGUUGGUGAGGCGUACAAAUACAAAGGUGGGCCUAGGAGGCAAACCCCCUAAGCCGCAAACACUAAAGUAUGAUGUCGAUCGAAAACAAGUAGAGAAGCAUGCAACUCCACACUGCCAAGAAAACCCACUAUCAAGCAAGAACUCGCCCGUACCGCAAACCGACACAGGUAGGAAAGGAGAAAAUCCUAAGACGAGCGGAAGAACCUUUGUUAAGGAACUCGGCAAAAUGACCCCGUAAGUUAGCAAGAAGGGGAGCCAUGAAAAUGGCCGCAGUAAAAAGGCCCAAGCGACUGUUUACCAAAAACACAAGUUUCUGCAAAGUCGAAAGACGAAGUAUAGGAGCUGACACCUGCCCGGUGCUGGAAGGUUAAGGGAAAAAGUCAGUUGAAAAACGAAGCUUAGAACCGAAGCCCCAGUAAACGGCGGCCGUAACUAUAACGGUCCUAAGGUAGCGAAAUUCCUUGUCGGGUAAGUUCCGACCCGCACGAAAGGUGUAACGAUUUGGGCACUGUCUCAACAAAGGAUCCGGUGAAAUUGAAGUAGCGGUAAAGAUGCCGCUUACCCACGACAGGACGGAAAGACCCCGUGGAGCUUUACUGUAGGUUGACAUUGGAUUUUGAGUUUAAAUGUACAGGAUAGGUGGGAGACAAAGAAACAAGUACGCCAGUAUUUGCGGAGUCGGCCUUGGGAUACCACUCUUUUAAACUUAGAAUUCUAACCGACCCCCUUGAAACAGGGGGAGGGACACUGUCAGUCGGGCAGUUUGACUGGGGCGGUCGCCUCCGAAAAAGUAACGGAGGCGUUCAAAGGUUCCCUCAGCACGGACGGAAAUCGUGCAAAGAGUACAAAGGCAAAAGGGAGCUUAACUGCAAGAGCCACAACUCAAGCAGAUAGGAAACUAGGACUUAGUGAUCCGGUGGUACCGAGUGGAAGGGCCAUCGCUCAACGGAUAAAAGCUACCCCGGGGAUAACAGGCUUAUCUCCCCCAAGAGUCCACAUCGACGGGGAGGUUUGGCACCUCGAUGUCGGCUCGUCUCAUCCUGGGGCUGAAGUAGGUCCCAAGGGUUGGGCUGUUCGCCCAUUAAAGAGGCACGCGAGCUGGGUUCAGAACGUCGUGAGACAGUUCGGUCCCUAUCCGUCGUGGGCGCAGGAAAUUUGAGAGGAGCUAUCCUUAGUACGAGAGGACCGGGAUGGACAAACCUCUGGUGCAUCAGUUGUCAUGCCAAUGGCACAGCUGAGUAGCUAAGUUUGGAAUAGAUAAGAGCUGAAGGCAUCUAAGCACGAAGCUGCCCUCGAGAUGAGAUUUCCCCAAAAAGAUAAGACCCCUUGAAGAAAACGAGGUAGAUAGGCUCAAAGUGUAAGCAUAGCAAUAUGCUGAGCCAAAGAGUACUAAUAGGUCGAAGACUUGACCAA
Peptoniphilus sp. ING2-D1G is the source of this 2858-nucleotide ribosomal RNA. It matches the Rfam family "Bacterial large subunit ribosomal RNA". The record is from Rfam. NCBI's taxonomy places the organism in Bacteria, Bacillati, Bacillota, Tissierellia, Tissierellales, Peptoniphilaceae.